Molecule: ribosomal RNA, 475 nt
Filed under: Metschnikowia sp. (in: budding yeasts & allies)
Lineage: Eukaryota; Fungi; Ascomycota; Pichiomycetes; Serinales; Metschnikowiaceae
Description: eukaryotic LSU rRNA
Rfam family: Eukaryotic large subunit ribosomal RNA
Source: RNAcentral
GGGCACCCACUGUAAUUGCUACAGUAUCGAGAAGGGAAGCGGCAGAUGUAAAAUCUUAAAUCCCCCCGGUCAUAGAAAUUAAAAUGAGGGAUUCCCCAUCGCGGGGAUAAAUUCCACUGGAAAGUGGCGCCACAGAGGGUGACAGCCCCGUGAACCCCCUUAACGCCCUCAUCCCAGAUCUCCAAGAAUCUAGUUGUUUGGGAAUGCAUCUCUUAGUGGGUGGUAAAUUCCAUCUAAAGCUAAAUACCGGCGAAAAACCGAUAGCGAAAAAGUACAGUGAAGGAAAAAUGAAAUGUUCUUUGAAAAGAAAGUGAAAAAGUACGUGAAAUUGUUGAAAGGGAUUGGCUUGCAAGCGGAAACUUAACUGGGCCAAGGUGUGGGCGGCGGGAAACCAAACGGCAGGGGAAUGUACCUUUUUAGGAUUAUAACCCCGGCCCUUAUUUCGCCCCGACGCCUGGGCCUGCAAUCUAAGGAC